This 963-nucleotide ribosomal RNA is filed under the name Pantoea sp. Its description in RNAcentral is "bacterial SSU rRNA". It matches the Rfam family "Bacterial small subunit ribosomal RNA", at positions 86 to 1045 of the family's 1533-position model. The record is from RNAcentral. Lineage: Bacteria; Pseudomonadati; Pseudomonadota; Gammaproteobacteria; Enterobacterales; Erwiniaceae.
GGGUGGCGAGUGGCGGACGGGUGAGUAAUGUCUGGGGAUCUGCCCGAUAGAGGGGGAUAACCACUGGAAACGGUGGCUAAUACCGCAUAACGUCGCAAGACCAAAGAGGGGGACCUUCGGGCCUCUCACUAUCAGAUGAACCCAGAUGGGAUUAUCUAGUAUGUGGGGUAACGGCUCACCUACGCCACUAUCCCUAUCUGGUCUGAGAGGAUGACCACCCACACUGGAACUGACACACGGUCCACACUCCUACGGGAGGCAGCAGUGGGGAAUAUUGCACAAUGGGCGCACCCCUGAUGCACCCAUGCCGCGUGUAUGAAGAACGCCUUCGGGUUGUAAAGUACUUUCAGCGGGGAAGAAGGGAUGAAUCUUAAUACUCUUCGUCUUUGACGUUACCCGCAAAAAAAGCACCGGCUAACUCCGUGCCAGCAGCCGCGGUAAUACAGAGGGUGCAAGCGUUAAUCAGAAUUACUGGGCGUAAAGCGCACGCAGGCGGUCUGUCAAGUCAGAUGUGAAAUCCCCGGGCUUAACCUGAGAACUGCAUUCAAAACUGGCAGGCUAGACUCUUGUAGAGGGGGGUAGAAUUCCGUGUGUAGCGGUGAAAUGCAUAGAGAUCUGGAAGAAUACCGGUGGCGAACGCGGCCCCCUGGACAAACACUGACUCUCAUGUGCGAAAGCGUGGGGAGCAAACGAGAUUAUAUACCCUGGUACUCCACGCCGUACACUAUGUCCACUUGGACGCUGUUCUCUUGAAGAGUGGCUUCCGGAUCUAACGCGUUAAGUCCACCGCCUGGGGAAUACGGCCGCAAGGUUAAAACUCAUAUGAUUUGACGGGGGCCCACACAAGCGGUGGAGCAUGUGGUUUAUUUCUAUGCAACGCGAAGAACCUUACCUGGCCUUGAAAUCCACAAAACUUGGCAAAAAUGCUUUGUUCCCUUCGAAACCCUAAAAAAAGGUGCUGCA